GAUGAACGCUGGCGGCGUGCCUAAUACAUGCAAGUCGAGCGAACAGAUGAGGAGCUUGCUCCUCUGACGUUAGCGGCGGACGGGUGAGUAACACGUGGAUAACCUACCUAUAAGACUGGGAUAACUUCGGGAAACCGGAGCUAAUACCGGAUAAUAUAUUGAACCGCAUGGUUCAAUAGUGAAAGACGGUUUUGCUGUCACUUAUAGAUGGAUCCGCGCCGCAUUAGCUAGUUGGUAAGGUAACGGCUUACCAAGGCAACGAUGCGUAGCCGACCUGAGAGGGGGAUAGGCCACACUGGAACUGAGACAAGGUCCAGACUCCUACGGGAGGCAGCAGUAGGGAAUCUUCCGCAAUGGGCGAAAGCCUGACGGAGAAACGCCGCGUGAGUGAUGAAGGUCUUCGGAUCGUAAAACUCUGUUAUUAGGGAAGAACAAAUGUGUAAGUAACUAUGCACGUCUUGACGGUACCUAAUCAGAAAGCCACGGCUAACUACGUG
This 497-nucleotide ribosomal RNA is filed under the name uncultured bacterium. Its description in RNAcentral is "partial 16S ribosomal RNA". It matches the Rfam family "Bacterial small subunit ribosomal RNA", at positions 28 to 507 of the family's 1533-position model. The record is from RNAcentral.